CUGGCAAACUGCCCAGCUUUAUGUGAUGGAUUGGGUCUGCAAGAAGCAGAUAUUAAGAUGGGAUUAGACAAGCAAAAACAUUCACUGGGUGAUUUGCCUGUAGGAAGAUGUAGGAUGAGUCUUCAGAUUAGAUCCAAGUCUGACAUCUUUGGAAGCAGAGUGGGAAGAAGGGAGGACUUGGGGGAAGAGCCUAAGAUCACAGCACAGGUCUAAGAACAUCUUGGCCAGGCUGAUAAGGAGUCCUCCAGCUAAAGUCACCCCUGAGAGGAGUCCCAUGUCCUGUGGGAAAGGGCUGGCAUGGACUCUGCUGUGCUCAGUCACUGGGUGGUAUAGCCUUGGAGAAGCGUAGCCUCAUUGUGAACAUGGCGGAUCCCAGUAGGUGACAGCUGGGGCUGACAAUCAGCUAUGUUCCUACAGCAGGAGAUCUGAACAGUGCAUUUCUGUGGCACCAUACUCUUAAUCCUGGAUGUCCCUCACCCACUGUGUCCUGAACAGAGAAAUGUAUUUAAAUAAAUACAUAUUGAGGGAAUGGACAGUUGGGAAGGGAAGAAAUCAGGUCUCUCUAAGGAGAGAGUCUGGCCUUUUUAGAAGACAUUCAUGUGGAGCAGACAUAUGGAAUACCUUGGUGCAGAGACAGGUACCCAAGAAAAGGUGUUUACCUCUGUCUAAAUCUGGAGCACGAACCAGAUGGCUUCGGAGCAGGCGGCAGUUCUUGUGGUUGUUCGCCCAAAUGGUGUUGAUUGUCAAAACGCACAAGGUAGCAAGUCUGGAGCAUGGGAAUCACUUCUGCACUGUCCCCUUCACAGUGAAGGAGGAAGGUCCACACAGCCCUUAAGACCUGCCCUUACAGACUCCAGGCACAGGAGAGAAGGUUCAGGGUCAGAAUGGUCAUUCAUUCAACAAUACCAAUUUCACGCAAGUGCUCAGAACCGCACCGGGUGCUGGGGAAAGCUCCAGGUAGCCUCCAUGUGCCCCUUCAGACCUGGUCUCCACCCUUCCCCACCUUGCUUCGGUCUCGGAAGGCUGACCUAUCUGGGCAGCAGCAGGCUCCAGUGGUCUCUGGCUUCUGGUUGGGCUUCACCAACAGAGGGUCCUGGCAGGAGACUGGGAAGAGGGAGGGUGGGAUCAGGCACUUCCAUCUCUGGCUCCCUCUGUGGUCACCUCACAUCUCUAUGACCGUCACGUUUGCUCUCAAGGAGGCAGAUUUGACAUAGUUCUCCCCUCUGUAGCUUCUGUAAUGACUCCCCGCUUCCUUCCUUGAAGCCUAGGGUGGUAAAUUCUGGCUUACAGCCCCUACCCCCACCCUUCACUGUAAACAAACCCUCCUCCACUCAGCCACUUCAGAUGUGCUAUCAGUCUCCCUGGAGGCCCUGGAGUGAGAAAGGAGCAAAAGACAGACUUGGCCUGUCUGGGGUCAACAGACAUUAUCUUAAUCAGCUCUGGCUGCCAUAACAAAAUACCAUACUGGCUAAACAAUAGAUAUUUAUUUUUUGCUUUUCUGAAGGCUGAAGGUCCAAGUUCAAGAUUUGGUCCUAGGAGAGAGCUCUCUCUCUCGCGCGCGCUCUUUUUUUUGUCUUUUUGCCUUUUCUAAGGCCACUCCCGUGGCAUAUGGAGGUUCCCAGGCUAGGGGUCUAAUCGGAGCUGUAGCUGCUGGCCCAUGCCAGAGCCACAGCAAUGCAGGAUCCAAGCCGCGUCUGUGACCUACACCAUGGCUCACGGCAACGUCAGAUCCUUAACCCACCGAGCAAGGGCAGGGACCGAACCCGCAACGUCAUGGUUCCUAGUCGGAUUCAUUUACCACUGUGCCAUGACGGGAACUCCUAGGCGAGGGCUCUCUUGCUGGUUUGUGGGCAGCCACCUUUUCUCACUGUGCCCUCACAUGGCAGAGAGUGUGUGGUCCAGCUCCAGUCUUUCUCCCUCUUGUUAUAAGGAUGCUCAUCCUAUCAUGGUGGUCCCACCCUCAUGACCUCAUCUCAACAUGCUUGCCUCCCAAAGGCCCCAUCUUCAGAUACUAUCACACUGGGGGUUUAGGGCUUCAACACAGGAAUUGCAGGGUAGAGGGCUACAUAAUUUAGCUCACAGCAGGCAUCAAACAUAUGAUUCCACAAACAUUUUAAAUUAUAAUACAAUAAAAUCUGCAAUGGAAAAGUGCUUGGUACCUCCUGUCCAGGGUGACGUAGGCGUCAGUAAGGGCUUCCCCCAGGAGGUGAUAUGCUUCCUGUGCCUGCACUGGGCCUGGACCAUACGUUUCAGGCAGAGCAAAGGCAGGCGUGAACGCCUGGGGUGGGAAGGAGCGGGGGUGUUCAGAACCAAGAGAAGGCUGGCGAGUGGGCAGCAGCCUAGUGAUGGCCGUGGGAACAGUUCAUGCAAAUCCCUCUCUUCUCUUUCUUCUCUCCAGUCUCUCCUCCGCCCCCUUUAUUAUUUUCUUUAUUCGUGGGCUUCAAAGAGGCCUCCAGCCCAAGGUCACCUGCUGAUCUUGGGAAGGACAGGGUCGGAGGCCCCUGGCUGAGCCAAGGUGAAAGUCUCCAGGUUCAAAACACAGCCUGGGAUGUUGCCUUCGGCUCUGCUCUUCCUCUGGGCGGCAGGGUGUGUGGGAUGAUUAACUCCUUGGGAUCUAAGUGAUGAAAGGGAGCGCAUGGCUCAGAAGCAGAAGGAGCCUAAUAUGUAGAGGGCUGGUUAUGAAGGGUUCACAGAUGCCGGACAGACAAGACAGAGUGCGCUUGGCAGGGCACUGUGGGACCUCAUUUAUUGGAUCCAUUAUCUGAAUUCAAAACAACUUGAAAUUAUGACCGUGAGAUAAAAAUAAAAGAUAAAGAGUGUUUGCAGUCAUCCUUGCCCCUGCCUGUCUCUAUUGUGAGCAUUGUAGAGGCCUCUCCUGCCUUUCUUUAUGUUUCAGAUCAUUUAAUUAAAUUUAACUAGUCCUUCUGGACCAGAAAGGGAAGGAGGGAGCCAGCAUUUACUAUGCGCUAGGCACUGCAUUAAGCAUGUUGAUCCUGGAAGCUACACACGGCAGUUCAGUUUCUCAUUUAAUCUUCCCAGCAGCUCUACACAGAAGGUGUUAUUAUCCACAUUUGAUGGGUGGGGGUAUGCUGCAGUUUAGAAAGAUCGGAUCAAUUGUAAUCCCUUAGUUAGAGGUAUACAUCUUUUGGUCCAUCUGUCCAUCCAUCCACCUGUUCGUGUAGCCCUCCAUUCAUCCAUCUGUCCAUCAUCCAGGCAGCCAUAUCCGUCCAUCCACCCACCCAUAAGCAGUACUUACUGAUCAUGCUUCACAUGCUCUGAGGCACUGAGGUAUCAUUGGUCUUCUGCCUUUGGAGCCUGCAGUCUAGUGUGUGUUGGGGGGGUGCUCCGACCUCCCUAGGCCCUUUGGAUGGGAGACCAAAGCCCCAUUCCAAGGCCCCCUACACAGUCUAGGUCUGGACUUGAGUGUCUGGAAAAACUUAGGGCUUUUCAGUGGCACACGAGCUGCUCUUUGCCCUUAAAGAGAAUGUAUUUUGUGUGGGCAACUGUCUUGAGGGGUAUCCCAGGAUAUGGGCCUUAGUGCUAAAACCAGAGAGUCCUGGGCCGACUUGGAUGGUUGGCCACCAUAAUUCAGUGCUUCUCAACAGCAGGGUGAUUUUGCUCCCCUACCAGGAACACUUGGCAAUGUCUGGAGACAUGGUUGGUUGACACAGUUGGGGUGGCAGAGCAGCUACUGUCAUCUAGUGGAUAGAGGUCAAGAAAGCUAUUAAACGUCUUACUCAGGGCAGCCCCCUUCACAAAGAGCCAUCUAGUCUAAAAUGUCGACAGUGCCCCAGGCUCAAGAGAGGGGCUGAAAGUGUGGCAAAAUUGCUGAUGCCAGGAGCAGCAUUCAGCUAAUGGUAGGUGGAGUUUCUAAUACCAAGAGCAUUCAGCCAAUGAUGGGUGGAGUUACUGAUGCCAGGAACAGCAUUCAGCCAACGGUAGGUAGAGUUUCUGAUACCAGGAACAGCAUUCAGCCGAUGGUAGGUGGAAUUAACUGAUGCCAGGAACAGCAUUCAGCCAAUGGUGGGUGGAGUGUCUAAUAUCAGGAGCAGCACUCAGCCAAUGUGGGUGGAGUUGUCAGGUAACUACCCCGACUUCUUUACCUGUUAAGUUAGAAACUCCCAUGCGUGGUCUGUGUUCUCUCUCAGACUUUCCCAGUGGAAUUGAGCCCCUGGUUGCCCAUGGUGGUUGCCUGCUCAGUAACACAGCCCUUCAGUGGCUGUCUUUCAUUUCCUGACUCAUCCCUCACUCCCCUGCAGACCCGCCCCUGGAACUACUUGCACUCAAGUUCUUAACUGACGGUCUGCUUCUGAUGGGACCCGGUUAUCUUUAUACAUGGAAAAUCAAACAUGGCCAGUUUUAUUAAAAGAUAACAUUGGGUUGGCCACUUGGAAACUUCACUCUUCUUCUCACCAUUUCUGUCCCUUAAACUCAGUGCUGGGGUCCUGCUGCAUAGCCACAAGCAGGUGCAGGAGGGUGGGUGGCCACAAUGCCCAGAAGUAGUUCAUGCAUAAGCCGCUGGUGCAUGGCCCUCUUUGGGUGACCUCGGGUGCACACAGAUAGGCCUAAAGGGACAUGAGAAGGGGUGCUGGUGUUGAGGCAAGAUGAGGAAGGGAAGUGGAAGCAGUAAGGCAGGCUGGGUUUCUUCUGACCUGGCCUCAGUGACACAAGUUGGCCUUGUGAUUGUACACCUGGGCUUUCUGUACCCUCAGUUGAGUGUGGGUUAGUUGGGUUAGUAUAGCAGGAUGCAUGAUGUUCCAGGCUUUAGAGUCUGAGAGAGUUGCGCUUGAAACAUAGCGUUGGUAUUUACCACAUCUCUGCCCUUGAAUGACUUAACUCAGUCCCUUGCUUCACGUGAUUGUCAUGAAAAGUAAAUGAUAAAAUAUUAAAUGAUAGAAUGGUAUGUAUUGUGCCUGACGUGCCAUAUACAUUGUGGCUCAGCUGGUUAAGAACCUGACUAGUAUCUGUGAGGAUGUGGGUUCGAUCCCUGGCCUCCCUCAGUGGGUUAAGCAUCCAAUACUGCCAUGAGCUGUGGUGGAGUUUGCAGAUCCCACAUUGCUGUGGCUGUGAUGUAGGCUGUCAGCUGAAGCUCUGAUGCAACCCCUAGCCUGGGAACUCC
RNAcentral lists this long non-coding RNA (5119 nucleotides) under Sus scrofa (pig). Its description in RNAcentral is "lncRNA (ENSSSCG00050001185.1)". Lineage: Eukaryota; Metazoa; Chordata; Mammalia; Artiodactyla; Suidae. The record is from RNAcentral.